CUUGCUGGUCAGCAGCUUUCCCACCAGCCUGUAUCUCUUUGUGGGGAGGAGAUAAUCCAGGUGCUUGUCCUUGACGGUGUCUGUCUCCAUGGAGGAUAAUGGAUUCUGGAGCCCGGAAGCCAGAGAGUUCAGUUGUCUCUUCCAUGUUGGAGCAAAUUGUUUACUUCACAGGAGAUCGCCAACACCAAGAGCAGAAACUGAAAUCCCGCCUCGUCUCAGAUCCGCUCAAUAGAAGCAAAGUAGGAACAUGGAGGGAAUCUGUGUUUCCCAAAUGGAAGGAAACAUCCUUAACUUCCCCCCACACUACCCCAAAGUGGAAAAUAACACUUACAUGGUGCUCAGCCUUCUCAGGAGUCCCUCUCCUGGUAUGACCAGCAGUCAUUUUGAAAGCUGGAAGAAAAUAAACCGCUAUCAGGCUUAAAGCUCCAAGUAACCAUGGUGACCAGCUCAUCCAGCCUCAGCUUCACCUGGUAAUAGGUAGAAGAGAAGUUGGUAGAAUCUUAUUGUCAUAAGUGAAAAGAGUUUGUGUUGCAGAAAUAUUUUCUUACCACAUAGGCCAAAAUUGGACGGCUACCAGUGUGUCUUCUUGAUCCCACUCCUUCCUUCAUUCAUUCAACCCAGAGUUACUGGCACUUUCCAGGGUUACAGCAGAGAAUCUGACAAACCCCUGCUCUCAGUGGUUGGCAGACAGCAAAGUAGGAAUAAAUAUACAAUGUAAUCUCAGGUUCUGGUGCGGGCAUCUGGUUACUGUGAAUUCUCUGCAGUAUACAAUGUGUACAACUGUCUGCAUAGCCCUGUCUUUGUCAUUGUCGAAACCAUUUUCUGGUAACAAAGCCUCUGUGCCUUUUCUUGUCCCAAAGAGGUGGGGGCAGGGAGGGAGGUGAAGAGGGAGCACAUUUCGGCUGACAUCUGCCCUUCGUUGACGUCCGUCCAUUUCCUCUUUGAAAUUCUCCUUCACCAGAACAGGUUGUUUUAGAGGGUGUUGCUGGUGCCCUGUCAUCACCCCAGGCAUUUGUCCAGUGUUACGGUUAACCUGUUUUCAGAAAGAUUGAAUAGUGUAUUAAAAUGGCUUUUAUAGUAAGUACAUAAUUCACGUGUAAAAUCUGAACUUGGAAUCCUUUUGCCACUCUCUUGC
Molecule: long non-coding RNA, 1135 nt
Filed under: Equus asinus (donkey)
Lineage: Eukaryota; Metazoa; Chordata; Mammalia; Perissodactyla; Equidae
Description: lncRNA (ENSEASG00005038009.1)
Source: RNAcentral